CCAGAAAAAAGAAGCGUAUCUAUUGCUGCUGCUUCUGAUGAAAAAGAAUGGUCAAGUAAAGAGUCGCAGAUUCCAUAAGUUCUACUGAUU
RNAcentral lists this long non-coding RNA (90 nucleotides) under Anas platyrhynchos platyrhynchos (common mallard). RNAcentral's name for it is "lncRNA (ENSAPLG00000018085.1)". The record is from RNAcentral. Lineage: Eukaryota; Metazoa; Chordata; Aves; Anseriformes; Anatidae.